RNAcentral lists this long non-coding RNA (612 nucleotides) under Cricetulus griseus (Chinese hamster). Its description in RNAcentral is "lncRNA (ENSCGRG00015040636.1)". Lineage: Eukaryota; Metazoa; Chordata; Mammalia; Rodentia; Cricetidae. The record is from RNAcentral.
GGGGAGUUAGGGAAGAGACAGAGAGAGAGAGAGAGAGAGAGAGAGAGAGAGGGAGAGAGAGAGAGAGAGAGAGAGACCUGCAGGUGAUGACUAGCUGUUGAAACAAGAGAGGAGGGGGGCUCCUGUUGGGGGUAGCAGUCACCAAUGGCAUUGGGGGGCUCUCUAGCAUGUCAAGAAGAGGUAGGGACUCAGGGACCAGCGAGCAGAGGCUGACUUCAUUCUGAGAGAGGGACCCAGCUACAAGUCAACAGGCUGAGGCAGUAGCCCUCUGAAGGAAGCAGAGCCACAAAGCAAGUCUCAGUGUAGUCCAAGAAGCAGAAAUAUCAAGGACGUCUAAGUUAACUACUAAGGAAGGCCAUGAAAAGAGAAGCCCAGAACCCUGCCAAGCUGGAGAUGAAUCCAACAGAGUGAGCAACACAGCGCACCUACACGGUGGACUAACAAUGGGAUUGCAACACUGGUCACAUGGUGCAUUGAAAAGCUACCCUGUACAAAACUUACCUGUAUAUGUGAUAUGCAGCCUGCUCUCAAAGCUGGAAAUCAAAGCCCAUUCACACUCCCCUAUGUGAAAGUCUGUUCUUACCACACCACCAUUUCCUGCUCAGUGUGUGG